GUACUCACUUUAGCAUGUAUACUAAAAUUGGAACCGUAUAGAAAAGAUUAACACAGUCCCUGCACAAGAAUGACAUACAAACUCUUGGAAUGUUUCAUUUUUUU
Small nuclear RNA from Leopardus geoffroyi (Geoffroy's cat), 104 nucleotides. Lineage: Eukaryota; Metazoa; Chordata; Mammalia; Carnivora; Felidae. The record is from RefSeq and is a predicted model, not a curated record.